GACGAACGCUUGCGGCGUGCUUAACACAUGCAAGUCGAACGGAAAGGCCCUGCUUUUGUGGGGUGCUCGAGUGGCGAACGGGUGAGUAACACGUGAGUAACCUGCCCUUGACUUUGGGAUAACUCCAGGAAACUGGGGCUAAUACCGGAUAGGAGCUCCUGCUGCAUGGUGGGGGUUGGAAAGUUUCGGCGGUUGGGGAUGGACUCGCGGCUUAUCAGCUUGUUGGUGGGGUAGUGGCUUACCAAGGCUUUGACGGGUAGCCGGCCUGAGAGGGUGACCGGCCACAUUGGGACUGAGAUACGGCCCAGACUCCUACGGGAGGCAGCAGUGGGGAAUAUUGCACAAUGGGCGGAAGCCUGAUGCAGCAACGCCGCGUGCGGGAUGACGGCCUUCGGGUUGUAAACCGCUUUCGCCUGUGACGAAGCGUGAGUGACGGUAAUGGGUAAAGAAGCACCGGCUAACUACGUGUCAGCAGCCGCGGUGAUACGUAGGGUGCGAGCGUUGUCCGGAUUUAUUGGGCGUAAAGGGCUCGUAGGUGGUUGAUCGCGUCGGAAGUGUAAUCUUGGGGCUUAACCCUGAGCGUGCUUUCGAUACGGGUUGACUUGAGGAAGGUAGGGGAGAAUGGAAUUCCUGGUGGAGCGGUGGAAUGCGCAGAUAUCAGGAGGAACACCAGUGGCGAAGGCGGUUCCCUGGGCCUUUCCUGACGCUGAGGAGCGAAAGCGUGGGGAGCGAACAGGCUUAGAUACCCUGGUAGUCCACGCUGUAAACGGUGGGUACUAGGUGUGGGGUCCAUUCCACGGGUUCCGUGCCGUAGCUAACGCUUUAAGUACCCCGCCUGGGGAGUACGGCCGCAAGGCUAAAACUCAAAGGAAUUGACGGGGCCCCGCACAAGCGGCGGAGCAUGCGGAUUAAUUCGAUGCAACGCGUAGAACCUUACCUGGGUUUGACAUGGAUCGGGAGUGCUCAGAGAUGGGUGUGCCUCUUUUGGGGUCGGUUCACAGGUGGUGCAUGGCUGUCGUCAGCUCGUGUCGUGAGAUGUUGGGUUAAGUCCCGCAACGAGCGCAACCCUUGUUCACUGUUGCCAGCACGUUAUGGUGGGGACUCAGUGGAGACCGCCGGGGUCAACUCGGAGGAAGGUGGGGAUGACGUCAAGUCACCAUGCCCCUUAUGUCCAGGGCUUCACGCAUGCUACAAUGGCUGGUACAGAGAGUGGCGAGCCUGUGAGGGUGAGCGAAUCUCGGAAAGCCGGUCUCAGUUCGGAUUGGGGUCUGCAACUCGACCUCAUGAAGUCGGAGUCGCUAGUAAUCGCAGAUCAGCAACGCUGCGGUGAAUACGUUCCCGGGGCU
This 1346-nucleotide ribosomal RNA is filed under the name uncultured bacterium. RNAcentral describes it as "partial 16S ribosomal RNA". It matches the Rfam family "Bacterial small subunit ribosomal RNA", at positions 28 to 1381 of the family's 1533-position model. The record is from RNAcentral.